Molecule: long non-coding RNA, 653 nt
Organism: Cyprinus carpio (common carp)
Lineage: Eukaryota; Metazoa; Chordata; Actinopteri; Cypriniformes; Cyprinidae
Exons: 2
Source: RefSeq, a predicted model, not a curated record
AAUGGUUAAGGCAUCGCAGAGCUCAGUUUUAGUGAGUGGCUGUACCUGACCAUGUGUGGUUGAUGUGUGAAGAGCAUAUCGUGCUGGACUAGAAGGGCCAAAAUCACUCCCUCAAAUGCAGCUUUAAGCCAUUACACCCAAAGACACUUGAGCAGUCCAGUACAUACUGCCUUAAAACCCAUCCCCCAUUACAUGAGGCUAUGGGACUAUAUGCCUUUUGAUUGAAAAAGGGAUUUCCUUAUUAUGCAAGAUGCAUUUAUCCAUUAUGAACCACCAAAUGUUAAUGGUAAUAUAAUAUAUAUAAAAAUAUAUUCCAGCAUUUCGGUGAACAACUUAACAUAGCUUUAUGAUUAACUGCAUGCUAUUAACCUUAUGCUGUAGGUUAUUCUUCUGUACUCACUAAUCUAGCGUAACUUAGAAUUUGAUAUUUGCACUGUUACGGCCUUAAUUUUUAAAGACAUGUUAUUUUUAUUUGAUCUUGUCAGUGUAAGAUUUUGAUAGCAUUUAUGAUCACUGUGAUUUGCUCUGCAAUUAUUUAUAUAAAAACAACUUGAGUUCUUCUAGGAUAUUCAGGGAAUUGUGCUACACUGGAUCUUUUCUUUUAUGCUGCUUCUUAAUGGAAGGAAAUGAAAAUAAAGGUUACAUUUAACUUC